RNAcentral lists this ribosomal RNA (543 nucleotides) under uncultured bacterium. RNAcentral's name for it is "partial 16S ribosomal RNA". It matches the Rfam family "Bacterial small subunit ribosomal RNA", at positions 355 to 887 of the family's 1533-position model. The record is from RNAcentral.
UGGGGAAUAUUGGACAAUGGGGGCAACCCUGAUCCAGCCAUGCCGCGUGUGUGAAGAAGGCCUUUUGGUUGUAAAGCACUUUAAGCAGGGAGGAGAGGCUAAUGGUUAAUACCCAUUAGAUUAGACGUUACCUGCAGAAUAAGCACCGGCUAACUCUGUGCCAGCAGCCGCGGUAGUACAGAGGGUGCGAGCGUUAAUCGGAAUUACUGGGCGUAAAGCGAGUGUAGGUGGCUCAUUAAGUCACAUGUGAAAUCCCCGGGCUUAACCUGGGAACUGCAUGUGAUACUGGUGGUGCUAGAAUAUGUGAGAGGGAAGUAGAAUUCCAGGUGUAGCGGUGGAAUGCGUAGAGAUCUGGAGGAAUACCGAUGGCGAAGGCAGCUUCCUGGCAUAAUAUUGACACUGAGAUUCGAAAGCGUGGGUAGCAAAACAGGAUUAGAUACCCUGGUAGUCCACGCCGUAAAACGAUGUCUACUAGCCGUUGGGGUCCUUGAGACUUUAGUGGCGCAGUUAACGCGAUAAGUAGACCGCCUGGGGAGUACGGCC